This 476-nucleotide transfer-messenger RNA is filed under the name Alphaproteobacteria bacterium. It matches the Rfam family "Alphaproteobacteria transfer-messenger RNA". Rfam says of the family: Bacterial tmRNA, also known as 10Sa RNA or SsrA, is named for its dual tRNA and mRNA-like properties. Its role is to liberate the mRNA from a stalled ribosome. RNAcentral also lists the same sequence under 1 other name. The record is from RNAcentral. Lineage: Bacteria; Pseudomonadati; Pseudomonadota; Alphaproteobacteria.
AACCUUUCCAAAAAUUAAAGUUUAUCUUAUAAUGGUAGUUGCCGGGCAUGUCCCGGUUAUGACGCUAAACGCGGUUGCGGAAUAGGCGUUCGUGGACCCGGGGGCAGUACCCGGCAGCUCCACCAAUAUUUGGGAUCGUAUAGAACUGGUUUUGAAUUUCGGCGUGUCCGCAAAGAGCACAUCCAAGAUUUUUGAACUCGCUGCACUCGAUAACGAAUUUUGAUGGGGCUGAAACAGGAUCGACACACGUAGUAAAGGCAUCAUGCGGCGUUCGGCAAUCCGCCGUUACCGGAUGAUCGUUAUAAAUGCAAACGACAAUCAUGCAUUUGUAGCAGCCAACGACAACACCUUUGGUGAUGUUGCUGGUGAAACUAAAGCUGCUUAAUUGCCGCUUUGGUGCGCUACGCACUAAUCCCUAAGGCUUAAUGCGUCUUAGGUGGGGUCCGGGUCGAACCUCGCAACAGAAUCGGCCCAUU